UGCAGUCGAACGGUGAUAGCAAUAUCAUAGUGGCGCACGGGUGCGUAACACGUAUGCAACCUACCUUAUACUGAGGGAUAGCCUUUCGAAAGGGAGAUUAAUACCUCAUAACACAUUGAACUGGCAUCAGUCUAUUGUUAAAGAUUUAUUGGUAUAAGAUGGGCAUGCGUCCAAUUAGUUAGUUGGCGAGGUAACGGCUCACCAAGACGAUGAUUGGUAGGGGAACUGAGAGGUUAAUCCCCCACACUGGCACUGAGAUACGGGCCAGACUCCUACGGGAGGCAGCAGUAGGGAAUAUUGGGCAAUGGAGGCAACUCUGACCCAGCCAUGCCGCGUGCAGGAAGAAGGCGUUAUGCGUUGUAAACUGCUUUUAUAUAGGAAGAAAUAGACCUUGCGAGGUAAGUUGACGGUACUAUAUGAAUAAGCACCGGCUAACUCCGUGCCAGCAGCCGCGGUAAUACGGAGGGUGCAAGCGUUGUCCGGAUUUAUUGGGUUUAAAGGGUGCGUAGGCGGUUUAUUAAGUCAGUGGUGAAAGACGGUCGCUCAACGAUUGCAGUGCCAUUGAUACUGGUAGACUUGAGUGGGAUUGAGGUAGCUGGAAUGGAUAGUGUAGCGGUGAAAUGCAUAGAUAUUAUCCAGAACACCAAUUGCGUAGGCAAGUUACUAAGUCUCAACUGACGCUGAGGCACGAAAGU
This 695-nucleotide ribosomal RNA is filed under the name uncultured bacterium. Its description in RNAcentral is "bacterial SSU rRNA". It matches the Rfam family "Bacterial small subunit ribosomal RNA", at positions 56 to 760 of the family's 1533-position model. The record is from RNAcentral.